UCUUACGGAAGGCAGCAGUGGGGAAUAUUGCACAAUGGGCGAAAGCCUGAUGCAGCGACGCCGCGUGAGGGAUGACGGCCUUCGGGUUGUAAACCUCUUUCAGCAGGGAAGAAGCGAAAGUGACGGUACCUGCAGAAGAAGCGCCGGCUAACUACGUGCCAGCAGCCGCGGUAAUACGUAGGGCGCGAGCGUUGUCCGGAAUUAUUGGGCGUAAAGAGCUCGUAGGCGGCUUGUCGCGUCGGUUGUGAAAGCCCGGGGCUUAACCCCGGGUCUGCAGUCGAUACGGGCAGGCUAGAGUUCGGUAGGGGAGAUCGGAAUUCCUGGUGUAGCGGUGAAAUGCGCAGAUAUCAGGAGGAACACCGGUGGCGAAGGCGGAUCUCUGGGCCGAUACUGACGCUGAGGAGCGAAAGCGUGGGGAGCGAACAGGAUUAGAUACCCUGGUAGUCCACGCCGUAAACGGUGGGCACUAGGUGUGGGCAACAUUCCACGUUGUCCGUGCCGCAGCUAACGCAUUAAGUGCCCCGCCUGGGAGUACGGCCGCAG
This 543-nucleotide ribosomal RNA is filed under the name Streptomyces caelestis. Its description in RNAcentral is "bacterial SSU rRNA". It matches the Rfam family "Bacterial small subunit ribosomal RNA", at positions 337 to 891 of the family's 1533-position model. The record is from RNAcentral. Lineage: Bacteria; Bacillati; Actinomycetota; Actinomycetes; Kitasatosporales; Streptomycetaceae.